This 496-nucleotide ribosomal RNA is filed under the name uncultured bacterium. RNAcentral describes it as "partial 16S ribosomal RNA". It matches the Rfam family "Bacterial small subunit ribosomal RNA", at positions 30 to 523 of the family's 1533-position model. The record is from RNAcentral.
AUUGAACGCUGGCGGAAUGCUUUACACAUGCAAGUCGAACGGUAGAGGGGGCAACCCCUCGAGAGUGGCGAACGGGUGAGUAAUAUAUCGGAACGUGCCCAGUCGUGGGGGAUAACGUAGCGAAAGUUACGCUAAUACCGCAUACGAUCUAAGGAUGAAAGCGGGGGAUCGCAAGACCUCGCGCGAUUGGAGCGGCCGAUAUCAGAUUAGGUAGUUGGUGGGGUAAAGGCUCACCAAGCCAACGAUCUGUAGCUGGUCUGAGCGGACGACCAGCCACACUGGAACUGAGACACGGUCCAGACUCCUACGGGAGGCAGCAGUGGGGAAUUUUGGACAAUGGACGCAAGUCUGAUCCAGCCAUUCCGCGUGCAGGAUGAAGGCCCUCGGGUUGUAAACUGCUUUUGUACGGAACGAAAAGGUCUCUCUUAAUACGGGGGACUCAUGACGGUACCGUAAGAAUAAGCACCGGCUAACUACGUGCCAGCCGCCGCGGUAA